CCUACGGGUGGCAGCAGUGGGGAAUAUUGGUCAAUGGGCUUACGCCUGAACCAGCCACGUCGCGUGAGGGAAGACUGCCCUAUGGGUUGUAAACCUCUUUUGUCAGGGAGCAACGCCGGCUACGUGUAGCCGGACUGAGUGUACCUGCAGAAAAAGCAUCGGCAAACUCCGUGCCAGCAGCCGCGGUAAUACGGAGGAUGCGAGCGUUAUCCGGAUUUAGUGGGUUUACAGGGUGCGUAGGCGGAAUGCCAAGCCAGCGGUAAAAUCGCGGGGCUCAACCUCGCUCCGCCGUUGAAACUGGCGUUCUUGAGUGGGCGAGAGGGAUGCGGAAUGCGUGGUGUAGCGGUGAAAUGCAUAGAUAUCACGCAGAACUCCGAUUGCGAAGGCAGCAUACCGGCGCCCAACUGACGCUGAAGAGCGAAAGUGUGGGUAGCGAACAGGAUUAGAUACCCGAGUAGUC
Molecule: ribosomal RNA, 460 nt
Filed under: uncultured bacterium
Lineage: Bacteria
Description: partial 16S ribosomal RNA
Rfam family: Bacterial small subunit ribosomal RNA
Source: RNAcentral